AAAUUGAAGAGUUUGAUCAUGGCUCAGAUUGAACGCUGGCGGCAGGCCUAACACAUGCAAGUCGAGCGGUAGCACAGGGAGCUUGCUCCUGGGUGACGAGCGGCGGACGGGUGAGUAAUGUCUGGGAAACUGCCUGAUGGAGGGGGAUAACUACUGGAAACGGUAGCUAAUACCGCAUAACGU
RNAcentral lists this ribosomal RNA (183 nucleotides) under Enterobacter chengduensis. Its description in RNAcentral is "partial 16S ribosomal RNA". It matches the Rfam family "Bacterial small subunit ribosomal RNA", at positions 1 to 179 of the family's 1533-position model. Lineage: Bacteria; Pseudomonadati; Pseudomonadota; Gammaproteobacteria; Enterobacterales; Enterobacteriaceae. The record is from RNAcentral.